UACGGAAGAUGCGAGCGUUAUCCGGAUUUAUUGGGUUUAAAGGGAGCGUAGGCGGGCUUUUAAGUCAGCGGUCAAAUGCCACGGCUCAACCGUGGCCAGCCGUUGAAACUGCAAGCCUUGAGUCUGCACAGGGCACAUGGAAUUCGUGGUGUAGCGGUGAAAUGCUUAGAUAUCACGAAGAACUCCGAUCGCGAAGGCAUUGUGCCGGGGCAGCACUGACGCUGAGGCUCGAAAGUGUGGGUAUCAAACAGG
Molecule: ribosomal RNA, 252 nt
Filed under: Paraprevotella clara YIT 11840
Lineage: Bacteria; Pseudomonadati; Bacteroidota; Bacteroidia; Bacteroidales; Prevotellaceae
Description: partial 16S ribosomal RNA
Rfam family: Bacterial small subunit ribosomal RNA
Source: RNAcentral